CCUACGGGGGGCAGCAGUGGGGGAUAUUGCACAAUGGGGGAAACCCUGAUGCAGCGACGCCGCGUGGGUGAAGACGCGCCUCGGCGUGUAAAGCUCUGUCAGCAGGGAAGAAAAUGACGGUACCUGAAGAAGAAGCCCCGGCUAACUACGUGCCAGCAGCGGCGGUAAUACGUAGGGGGCAAGCGUUAUCCGGAUUUACUGGGUGUAAAGGGGGCGCAGACGGCGAUGAAAGCCAGGAGUGAAAGCCCGGGGCCCAACCCCGGGACUGCGCUUGGAACUGGGUGGCUAGAGUGCAGGAGGGGCAGGCGGAAUUCGUGGUGUAGCGGUGAAAUGCGUAGAUAUCAGGAGGAACACCGGUGGCGAAGGCGGCCUGCUGGACUGCAACUGACGUUGAGGCCCGAAAGCGUGGGGAGCAAACAGGAUUAGAUACCCGGGUAGUC
This 440-nucleotide ribosomal RNA is filed under the name uncultured bacterium. RNAcentral describes it as "partial 16S ribosomal RNA". It matches the Rfam family "Bacterial small subunit ribosomal RNA", at positions 338 to 795 of the family's 1533-position model. The record is from RNAcentral.